CCGCAGGCGGGGCAUAUACAUGCAGUCGAGCGAAUCUUUAAAAGCUUGCUUUUGAAGAUUAGCGGCGGACGGGUGAGUAACACGUGGGCAACCUGCCUGUAAGACUGGGAUAACUUCGGGAAACCGGAGCUAAUACCGGAUAAUCUGUUUCCUCGCAUGAGGGAAUUCUAAAAGACGGCGCAAGCUGUCACUUACAGAUGGGCCCGCGGCGCAUUAGCUAGUUGGUGAGGUAAUGGCUUACCAAGGCAAAGACGGGUAGCUGGUCUGAGAUGAUGAUCAGCCACACUGGUACUGGAACACGGACCAGACUCCUACGGGAGGCAGCAGUGGGGAAUCUUGGUCAAUGGGCGCAAGCCUGAACCAGCGACACCGCGUGAGUGAUGAAGGCCUUCGGGUUGUAAAGCUCUGUGGGGAGGGACGAAAGACUGAGGUCUAAUAGGCUUCAGGUUGACGGUACCUCCUUAGCAAGCACCGGCUAACUCUGUGCCAGCAGCCGCGGUAAGACAGAGGGUGCAAACGUUGCUCGGAAUCACUGGGCGUAAAGGGCGUGUAGGCGGGAAGGAAAGUCAGAUGUGAAAUCCCCAGGCUCAACCUGGGAACUGCAUUUGAAACUCCCUUUCUUGAGUACCGGAGAGGAAAGUGGAAUUCCUGGUGUAGAGGUGAAAUUCGUAGAUAUCAGGAGGAACACCAGUGGCGAAGGCGGCUUUCUGGACGGUAACUGACGCUGAGACGCGAAAGCGUGGGGAGCAAACAGGAUUAGAUACCCUGGUAGUCCACGCUGUAAACGAUGAGUGCUAGGUGUCGUGGGUAUUGACCCCCGCGGUGCCGUAGCUAACGCAUUAAGCACUCC
Molecule: ribosomal RNA, 850 nt
Filed under: uncultured bacterium
Lineage: Bacteria
Description: bacterial SSU rRNA
Rfam family: Bacterial small subunit ribosomal RNA
Source: RNAcentral